AUGUAUGGGGCUGGUGAGGGAUCUGAGGAGGGAUCUAUGGGGCAAUGUGUGGGUCAGAUCUAUGGGUCAGAAUAUGGGUCGGAUCUAUGGGGCAGUAUGUGGGUCAGUAUAUGGGUUGGAUCUAUGGGUCAAUAUGUGGGUCAGGUGUAUCUAUGGGGCAGUGUGUGGGUCGGAUCUAUGGGUCAAUAUGUGGGUCAGUAUAUGGGUUGGAUCUAUGGGUCCAGGUGGAUCUAUGGGUCAAUCUAUGGGUCCAGGUGUAUCUAUGGGUCAGAUCUAUGGGUCCAGGUGGAUCUAUGGGUCAAUCUAUGGGUCCGGGUGGGUCUAUGGGGUGAAGUAUGGGUCAGUAUAUGGGUCAGAUCGAUGUGUUGUAUCUAUGGGUCCAUAUGUGGGUCAGAUCUAUGGGUCCAGGUGUAUCUAUGGGUCAAUGUGUGGGUCCAGGUAUAUCUAUGGGGCAAUCUAUGGGUCUGGGUAUAUCUAUGGGUCCAGGUGGAUCUAUGGGGUGAUGUAUGGGUCAUAUCUAUGGGUCAGUCUAUGGGUCCGGGUGUAUGUAUGGGUCCCUAUGAGAGUCUCGCCGUGGGGCAGGCUGACCCUAUAACCCGCAGCGCCGCUGUGCCCCAUAACAAGCCCAAGAGCGCGUGGAGGAGCCGCAUCCAUCCCUCCAUCCAUCCCUCCAUCCAUUUAGAUGGGGCCGGUAGGUUGUGGGGCAGCGCCGUGGGGCAGGAGCCGCUGGAGGCCGACAUGUGGGGCACUGAGACCCAUUGGCCCCAUUGCCCCCAUUGCCCCCCAUUAUCCCCCCCCUCACCCCACAUCUCUUCUUUUACAGCUGCAAUGUGGACAACGGCCCCGCCCCCUUCUUAAGCCACGCCCCCUUUCCCCGUAGGCUCCGCCCCCUUUGCCUUUAAGCCCCGCCCCCUUCAUUAACCCCUUCUUUAUUAAACCCCUAUCCUUUAAGCCACGCCCCCUUUGCCUUUAAGCCCCGCCCCCUUCAUUAACCCCUUCUUUAUUAAACCCCCUAUCCUUUAAGCCCCGCCCCCUUUUCCUUUAAGCCCCGCCCCUUUCUUCCUUUAAGCCCCACCCCCUUCGUUAAGCCUUGCCUCCUUUUCCUUUAAGCCCCGCCCCAUUCGUCUCUAUGCCCCUCCCCUUCAUUAACCAUCGCUUAACGCCACGCCCCCUUUCCUAAGCCCCGCCCCCAUUGAGCCCUUCUUUAUUUAGCCCCGCCCCCUUUCUCCUUAAGCCCCUCCCCCUUCGCUGAUCCCCUUCAUUAAGCCCCACCUCCUUUUCCUUCAAGCCCCGCCCCCUCAUUGACCACUUCCUUAAGCCACGCCCCUUUCCUUUAACCCCGCCCCUUCAUCAACCCCUUAAGCCCCGCCCCCUCUUAAACCCCGCCCCUUUUAGUCACCCCCCUUCAAGCCCCGCCCCCUUCAUUAACAUAUUGACACCUGCUGCCUUUAAGCCACGCCCUCUUUCCUUUAAGCUCCGCCCACUUCAUCUUUAACCCACCCCCUUUUCCAUUUAAGCCACGCCCCCUUCCUUAAGCUCCUCCCCCCUUAAGCCCCGCCCAUUUCAUUAUCCCCGUGCUUUCUUAAGCCCCUCCCCUUCUUCCUUAAGCCCCGCCCCCUUUCAACUCCCUAAGCCCCGCCCCCUUUCUCACCUGAAGCUCCACCCCCAUUCCUGAGACCACACCCCCCUUUUCCCUUCAACCAAUCAACACCCCCCUUUCUUGCCUUAAACCCCGCCCCCUUUCCUGUGACCACGCCCCCUCUUUGUAGACCACGCCCCCUUUCGUAGCCCCGCCCAUUUUCUUCUUGGCCCCGCCCCCUUUUCCUCCAGCCAAUCAACGCCCCCCAUCUCGCCUUAA
Long non-coding RNA from Coturnix japonica (Japanese quail), 1858 nucleotides. The record is from Ensembl. Lineage: Eukaryota; Metazoa; Chordata; Aves; Galliformes; Phasianidae.